GAGUUUGAUCCUGGCUCAGGAUGAACGCUGGCGGCGUGCCUAACACAUGCAAGUCGAACGAGCAGCAAUGCUAGUGGCGAACGGGUGAGUAACACGUAGGAAUCUGCCUCAGAGUGGAGGAUACCCAGCCGAAAGGUUGGCUAAUACUCCAUAGUCCCGCAAGGGUAAAGCAGCAAUGCGCUUUGAGAGGAGCCUGCGUCCUAUCAGCUAGUUGGUGAGGUAAAAGCUUACCAAGGCUAUGACGGGUAGGGGGUGUGAGAGCAUGACCCCCCACAAUGGGACUGAGACACGGCCCAUACUCCUACGGGAGGCAGCAGUUGGGAAUUGUACACAAUGGGCGCAAGCCUGAUGUCGCGACGCCGCGUGGAGGAAGAAGGUUUUCGGAUCGUAAACUCCUUUUCCCAGGGAAGAUUGUGACGGUACCUGGGGAAUAA
RNAcentral lists this ribosomal RNA (434 nucleotides) under uncultured Microgenomates group bacterium. RNAcentral's name for it is "bacterial SSU rRNA". It matches the Rfam family "Bacterial small subunit ribosomal RNA", at positions 9 to 489 of the family's 1533-position model. The record is from RNAcentral.